GAUGAACGCUGGCGGCGUGCCUAAUACAUGCAAGUCGAGCGAACGGACGAGAAGCUUGCUUCUCUGAUGUUAGCGGCGGACGGGUGAGUAACACGUGGAUAACCUACCUAUAAGACUGGGAUAACUUCGGGAAACCGGAGCUAAUACCGGAUAAUAUUUUGAACCGCAUGGUUCAAAAGUGAAAGACGGUCUUGCUGUCACUUAUAGAUGGAUCCGCGCUGCAUUAGCUAGUUGGUAAGGUAACGGCUUACCAAGGCAACGAUGCAUAGCCGACCUGAGAGGGUGAUCGGACACAGUGGGACUGAGACACGGUCCAGAGUCCUACGGGAGGCAGCAGUAGGGAAUCUUCAGCAAUGGGCGAAAGCCUUACAGAGCUACACCGCGUGAGUGAUGAAGGUCUUCGUAUCGUAAAACUCUGUUAUUAGGGAAAAACAUAUGUGUAAGGAACUGUGCACACCUUGACGGUACCUAAUCAGAAAGCCACGGCUAAGUACGUG
This 497-nucleotide ribosomal RNA is filed under the name uncultured bacterium. Its description in RNAcentral is "partial 16S ribosomal RNA". It matches the Rfam family "Bacterial small subunit ribosomal RNA", at positions 28 to 507 of the family's 1533-position model. The record is from RNAcentral.